This 656-nucleotide ribosomal RNA is filed under the name uncultured prokaryote. RNAcentral's name for it is "bacterial SSU rRNA". It matches the Rfam family "Bacterial small subunit ribosomal RNA", at positions 28 to 702 of the family's 1533-position model. The record is from RNAcentral.
GAUGAACGCUGACAGAAUGCUUAACACAUGCAAGUCGAUUCGAUUUACCUUCGGGUAUUGAGGAUGGCGGACGGGUGAGUAACGCGUAAGGAACUUGCCUCUUGGUCUGGGACAACUGUUGGAAACGACAGCUAAUACCGGAUAUUAUGAGAUUCUCGCAUGGGAAACUUAUGAAAGCUAUAUGCGCCAAGAGAGAGCCUUGCGUUCCAUUAGCUAGUUGGUGGGGUAACGGCCCACCAAGGCGACGAUGGAUAGCCGGCCUGAGAGGGUGAACGGCCACAAGGGGACUGAGACACGGCCCUUACUCCUACGGGAGGCAGCAGUGGGGAAUAUUGGACAAUGGGCCACAAGCCUGAUCCAGCAAUUCUGUGUGCACGAUGAAGGUCUUCGGAUUGUAAAGUGCUUUCAGUUGGGAAGAAGAAAGUGACGGUACCAACAGAAGAAGCGACGGCUAAAUACGUGCCAGCAGCCGCGGUAAUACGUAUGUCGCAAGCGUUAUCCGGAUUUAUUGGGCGUAAAGCGCGUCUAGGCGGAAAAAUAAGUCUGAUGUUAAAAUGCGGGGCUCAACUCCGUAUUGCGUUGGAAACUGNUUUUCUAGAGUACUGGAGAGGUGGGCGGAACUACAGGUGUAGAGGUGAAAUUCGUANAUAUUUGUA